This 924-nucleotide ribosomal RNA is filed under the name uncultured Bacteroidota bacterium. RNAcentral's name for it is "bacterial SSU rRNA". It matches the Rfam family "Bacterial small subunit ribosomal RNA", at positions 1 to 917 of the family's 1533-position model. The record is from RNAcentral. Lineage: Bacteria; Pseudomonadati; Bacteroidota.
UGGUCCAGACUUUGAUUAUGGCUCGGGAUGAACGCUAGCGACAGGCUUAACACAUGCAAGUCGAGGGGCAGCGGGGAAGUGCUUGCACUUCCGCCGGCGACCGGCGCACGGGUGAGUAACACGUAUGGAACCUGCCCGCAGCAGGGGGAUAAGCGGAAGAAAUUCCGUCUAAUACCGCGUACCGACACUAAGGGGCAUCCCUUUGUGUCAAAAGAUUUAUCGGCUGCGGAUGGCCAUGCGGCGCGUUAGCUAGUCGGCGGGGUAACGGCCCACCGAGGCGACGAUGCGUAGGGGUUCUGAGAGGAAGGUCCCCCACACUGGUACUGAGACACGGACCAGACUCCUACGGGAGGCAGCAGUGAGGAAUAUUGGUCAAUGGCCGAGAGGCUGAACCAGCCAAGUCGCGUGAGGGAAGACGGCCCUACGGGUUGUAAACCUCUUUUGUCGGGGAGCAAAGGCGGUCACGCGUGACCGGAUGAGAGUACCCGAAGAAAAAGCAUCGGCUAACUCCGUGCCAGCAGCCGCGGUAAUACGGAGGAUGCGAGCGUUAUCCGGAUUUAUUGGGUUUAAAGGGUGCGCAGGCGGAACUGCAAGUCAGCGGUCAAAAUGCGGGGCUCAACCCCGUCGAGCCGUUGAAACUGCGGUCCUUGAGUGCGCGAGAAGUAUGCGGAAUGCGUGGUGUAGCGGUGAAAUGCAUAGAUAUCACGCAGAACUCCGAUUGCGAAGGCGGCAUACCGGCGCGCAACUGACGCUCAUGCACGAAAGCGUGGGUAUCGAACAGGAUUAGAUACCCUGGUAGUCCACGCAGUAAACGAUGAGCACUAACUGUCCGGGCCGAAUGAGGCCUGGGUGGUACAGCGAAAGCGUUAAGUGCUCCACCUGGGGAGUACGCCGGCAACGGUGCAACUCAAAUGAAUUGACGGA